AUUAGGGUGGGAGGGAGAUCAGGACUCUAGGAAUUCAGUGCCAGCCUCCCCUGCAGGUCAUUCAGAGGUUGGGGCCUUGGCAGGCCUUGGCAGGCGUCGGCUCAGAGCCAUGCAGCCAGCAGGCCCCACCUCCGUGUCUGGGAGGCAGCUGCUUCCAGGGAGCCCACAUCUGAUGGUGGAUCCCUCUCUCCUUAGGCUGCUCCAGGUGUGUGCCCCCUGGUCUUGGGGGGAACUUGGGAAUCCUGCACCUGAAGAUGAAGGAUUCGGAUGAAGGACCACUUACUGAACACGUCCUCUGUGGAUCCAGGCACUUUAAAUUCAUCAUCUCCAUCCUCACAGGCACCCUGCAAGGUCGCUGUGAAGAGUAAGAGAGUUGAUGGCUAGAAAACCAUUUGGUAAUCUGUAAAAUGCCACUGAGCGGAGCACUGUGUGGCACUAUGACCAUCGGGGGCUCUGUGCGAAGAGUCUGGGCUCUGAGAGGUACCUUGGCCUCCAGGCAACUAGCUUUUGGCCUGUGUUUACUGAGUUAUUUGGCUCCAUGUUAUUUUUCGAGGCACAUCACCUUGCCUGGUCUCACCUGUCCUCCUGCUUCACCUGGGACCUUGGCCGAACCACUCUACCCAUCUGUACCUCAGCCAUUCUCUCUGGAAAAUGAGUCUGCUACCUGACUCCACCUGUCUUAGGGAGAACCAUCAGAGCAAAUCAAGUUCAUUCACUGAGCCGGCCUUUAUUGAGGGUCUACUCUCUGGUACUUGGGGUAGAAUCAUGAAUAAAAGAAAACUCCUGCCCUAGAAGAAGGGACAGACAGUGAUCGGUCAGUUCCAGGGCAAUGCAAUUAAGUUACAGAAGAAAAAUGGGGAGCAUGUCAUGGAGGCCACCACGAACCCUGCGCUUCAAUAGCAGGAUUAGAAGGGAUCUUCUCGCCAACUUAAUUUCACUGCCACCUCUGCAAAAGAAGCUGUGUUGUGCUCGUCUUGGGAGAAAUGGUAAAAGCAGGGGCCAUUCGCCCUUCCUGCAUCCUUCUAACACACAGAGCGUCAAGGGGCGAAGUUUCUACACUUCUUACCAUGUUCUCAGGCUUAUUGUCCAGGGAGUGUCCUGAGCAGCCCAAAGUGCACCAAACACAGAUGAUGUCACAUCUGAGUGCUUUGCUAACUUGCCCACUGAAAGUUGUAUCUCACUGGGGCCAAAGUGACACUCAGCAGUUACAGCAUUUGAUAAGGUGGUGGUGAAUGAUCAACCAGCAGCACACCUGGGAGACGUCAGGAGUGGCGGGAAGUCGGCCUUCCCUGACUCACCGGCGUGGUGCCUUUUCCCAGCCACACCUCAAAGCUGAUGGUGAGCUUUCGUCUGCCUGCAGCUGAGGGAAGGAUGUCAUCAGAACUCUACACAGGGUGAGCAGGGGUCACUGCAUAGGUAACCAUAGUGACAUCCAAAUUAUACGGAAAUCCUUUCUUUCAUUCAUUCAUUCAUGCACACAUUCAUUCUUCCAUUCACUUCUAAUUAGUGUGUCAAAUGGGCUGGACUUGGUGGGAUGCAACCAAGAAAUAGCGUCUAUUUUUCUCCCUCUCUCAUCACUGCCCUUCCCACCUGCUCCAUCCGAUCUCUUCACUGGUCAACAUCUCAGGCAGAUUCCAUAACUACUCUGUCCCUUCCGGGUAUCAAUGACCUGUCCUCAUGUUAGAAUAUUAAAGAGCCCAUUCCAGAAUACACUUAAAACUUUCUCAUAAAAUUCUCACCAGAUUCAAAGCUCUUUCCUCUUCCCCCAGAUCAGGCCUGAGUCAAGCUCGAAAAAGUUGCACAGUCUGUCUUUUAUUAUUGUGUUGUCUCUUGCCUUUCAUUAGCCUCUUCUGACUCCCCAAGGUAGGGCAGAGAGUGGGGAGAAGAGGAAAGAAGCAAAAAUGUCUGUUUACUUAGCUGGGCCUGCUGUAAUCUAGCCAUCAGUGUCCUCUGAAUACAGAUGCUCAGGAAGUGGUUCUUUCUCUUGGAAGGCACUUUAGCGAGUUCCCUGGAUGUGCCCCACCCAACCCAGGCCCUGUGGCUUACAGUGCCUGCAGUUGGAACGAUGCCCUCUCUGGCUGGUUUUUAUGACUCCCCUGCAGUCCCAGUGUCAAUGGGAUACCCAACAUGGCCGCCUAAUGCCAGGUUCAGCUCUCCCUGGCAGUCAGGGACCUUGGCUGAUCCUAUCAAGAGGACUCAAGCCCAGCUUCCAUCCUCAGAGUGCACGUGGCCCACAGAAGAACUUUUCACGUAUUGUCCCAGCAAGCUCUGGAAGUGCUGGCCGCAUCGAAGAGUUUUUGUUCCCACAAGAUGGUGACAGCCAGGGCAGGCCUACAAGACCCUGCGGCUCAGCCAGCAUCCACCAGGAAGAGAGAUUUUAGUCUCUGCUCCUGGAAGAGUCCCCGACUCUCUGAGUGGUCCUCUUGGAGCCAUCCCUACUUGGCUCAAGGAUGGGGAAAGCCCUCCCUCCUCUCCUCCAAUGAGAAGAAAAGGGAAUUUGUGCACAAUACUCUUACUAGAAUUCCCUUACAAUCAAUCCAAAACCAUAUCUAUAUCCAUAUCAAUAUUUCUGUAUCUCUAGAUCAUUUUGGCCAACUCUUAAGUUAUGCAUGGAUAGAAGUUGCAUCUCUCUUUAGAAUGGGGCCACAUGUUACCCAUCUCAGCUUUGAGCAUCAGCAGAAAUUCUCAAACAACAGAAAAAUUCCAAUUUAACUUUCUGUUUACUAUUUCAUUCAUUCAUAAGAUUUAUUCAGCAAAUACUUUUCCAGAGUGUACCAUGUGCCCAGGACUGAGCCAAAGUAUACCCAGUAAGGAGCAAAACCAGCCUGGACUUGGCCCUCUUCUGCGUGGAUCCACCAAUUGCUAGCUUCUUGAAACCUUUCCAGAACACCUAAAUUUGAUUAAUUAACAUCCUAUUCACUCUGUUAUCCUGCACUGGUGGAUGGCUACAAAGACAGUUAUAACUUGGAGUUUGUGAUAAUGGCCCCACGUGCUAAAGAUCCUUUGAGUCAUCAAUGUUAACUGAAUCAUCAGGAUUGUUUUAGUGUUGAGUAUAUUUUGCUGCUAUUUGAUUCUGUAGCAACACAAACUUAGUUAUGCUUCUAUUUUAAUACUAAACAGACACAUGCUCUAAGAUAGACGUGGUUCCCUAUAAUCAGAAUAUUUGCUAAAUCUAUUAUUUGACCAGGCUGGGUUCAGAACAUUUUCCUGUUUGUUUACAGAGUAGUUCAUAGUUCAAUGAAGGGUAUGUGUGUGUGUGUGUGUGUGUGUGUGUGUGUGUGUGUGUGUGUGUGUAAGAUUUUUCUCCCAUUUUUGGAGUAUUUUCUUUUAUUAGAUUAAAUUUUCCUGGUAUUUUCCUUUUCAUCCAGAAAAUAAAAAUGCCGACUUUUCCUGGCUUAAAUGGAUGACUCGUUUAAAUAUUUAAUUUAACUUGAUUUUUUAAUGCAAAGUCACAUUUUCCUGUUUGGUUAGAGAGUAGUUCAUAAUUUAAUGAAGGGCAUAUAUGUGUGUGUGUAAGUUUUUACCCCUUUUUGCGUAUUUUCUUUUAUUAGAUUGACUUUUCCUGGUAUUUUCCCUUUUAUCCAAAAAACAAAAGUGCCAACUUUCCGGGCUUAAAUGGAUAACUCAUUGAAAUAUUUAGCUUGAUUUUUUUAAAUGCAAAGUCAUAUGUUUUUGAAACACUGCUCCUGUUCUUGGCAGCACCAAUCAAAAACAUUCAACUUAGAAUGUCUGCCUUGUUCCUGAAGUUGGAUUCUAUGUGUUUUGAUUUUGGGGGAAUUUUUUUCAUUUCAUUAAACCUCGGCGUAGAUGAAAAGUUUUGAUCUCAUGCAGGAAAAACACGAGAGAAUCUUCAUUGUUGUCAACUAUUUCAUUUAAAAAGUCUUGCAUUCUAACCCCGGUUCCCUGAUGCAAUAUAUAAAUCUCGUUAACCUUAUAAAUAUGAUUUUCCAAGAGCAAAGAACUUCUCCCUUCUUCCUUUAUUAUGUCUAAUUUGCAUACCAGCACAUAGUCCAAGUCUUGGCAGAUAAUAAUAUUUUAAAGGGCAUUGAAGUAUAAGAAUAACUACCUACUUGCAGAUGUGUUAUGAAAUAUGCCCCAUUAGUCACUUUGUAUUUGAAAGGCAGAAAAAUAGGCACCUAGCAACAGCAUGCCAUCACUCAGGCUUAGAGAAAAGCCAUCUUACAUCUAGGGGAUGUUACCCCCUCUUUUGGGGGCUGUCAGGCUAGUAUAUUUAAUCACACAAAGGAUCCUUACAAGGAGCCUCGGGUGUUGAUAGGCAUGGGGAAUGACAGUAAUGACAUCCCCCAAGGAUGGCUUUUGGCGGUGGAGGAGAUGGGCUUGUUGGGAGCCUUCCAGACAGGUUCCUAAGUCAGUCCUGCUCAGAGAGCCCCCGAGUCUCCACCUGGGAACUGUGCUUCCCCUUCUGGAAAGCCGUUCAUCCUCCCUCCCUCUCUUCCCCUCUAAGUGGAUUACUAGGAGGGGCUCCCCGGCCCCAGAACCCAGAAAUAAGGAUCCGGCACUUGACACCCAUUCAGGACCAACCUUCUCCCACCUGCCAUGGGGAAGCAUCAAAAUGCUGUGCCCACAUUAGCAUCCAAUCAGGCUGAAUUUCCAGAAGGUUCUUUCCUCACACCAGUUAGAACAAGAAAGAAGUGAUAGGAGGCAAGCUAAGGUGAUGAAGAGAAGAAGGAAGAAAUUCAAAAUCUAACAUUCAGCUGGGGAGAAAUUCCUCCAGCAACCCCUACAGGUGCUUGCAUCUGGGCCAGUGUAGGAGAGAGCCUCAGGGUCCCCCAGGCCAUUCCGCAGACAUUCGCUGAGUCCCUGUGGUGAAUUCAGGGACUCACACUGAGGCUACACAGCCUCAAGUGGUUCCCCUUCGGCAGGAGAGCUGAGCACCCAGGACAUGUCCCAGAAGCAGAAUGUUCUCUCUGUGCCAUGAGGACUUGGGAGCGGCCAGAAAUUCACUUAUGAUCAAGCCAACCCCUUGCCUUCAAGUUUUGGGCUAUGCUGGUUAAAUAGAAGGAUGUAAAGUGAGGCAGUGCAGCGGGGAUGCUCAUGGGGAAGCCCAGGGCUGGGGCGGAGAUGGACUUCCCCGUCUCCUUACAAAAUAAAAAGGAAAGAAGGAAGGGAGGGAGAGAAAGAGGACAAGGAAGACCAAAAAAGGAUACCUGUGAGAAAUAGAUGGUGGUGAUGAUCGUUCAACAUGUGAAUGUAAUUAAUACCACUGAACUGUACACUUAAAAAUGGUUAGAAUGGCGAAUUUCAUGUUAUAUAUAUUUUGCCACAGUUAAAAAAAAUAGUGUAGGGCCAGUCCUAGUGGUCUAGUGGUUAAGAUCAGUGCACUCUGCUUUGGCAGCCUGGGUUCAGUUCCUGGGCAUAGACCUACCCCACUCAUCUGUCAAUGGCCAUGCUGUGGCAGUGGCUCACAAACGAAAAGAGGAGGAUUGGCAGUGGAUGUUAUCUCACGGAAAAUCUUCCUCUGCAAAAAAAAAAAAAAAAAGUGUGAUAUCUCCAAAACCAUUGAACUGUACAUUUUAAAUGGUUGAAUUGUAUGGUACCUGAAUUUAUAUCUCAAUAAAGCUAUUUUUAAAAAAUGAUAUCCACAAGCAGUGUGUGUGUGUGUGUGUUUGCGUGUGCACGCAUGUGCGCAAGCCAGAGAGAAUGCCAAUUUCUAAGUUAAUCUACUUUGGGUGGAAAACUCGACAGAGUGAGGACUCAACAAAGGUGGGAGGAGAAAUGUAAGCUGUCUGCCCAUGGUUCGCAGGUGCCCUAGAGGAAGGGAGAAAGAAGUAAAGUGUGAUAAAUGCUAAAAUAAUAUCAUAAAUAGUACAGGCUUCACGUAUUUUUAUAAGAGGGAGGAUUCUCCAGCACAAAGUCCAUACCUGGUUCCACUUUCUGUCUGUACCUUGUUACAAAGUCAGAGGGAUGGCGGCUCUGCCUGCCGAGGCUCACGAAGGUGUGGCCGCUAAUGGUCACACUGAAGCUACUAUUUUCCCCUGGAAAUAUCUGGUGAUGUUUAGGAACGCAGCACAUGGCUUUUCUUUACACCUUGGAGCCAGAGUCCUUCUUCCUGGAGGGUCAACUCCAGUGUCAAAAGGGUGUGGUGGAGGCAAAGCUGGGUCUGGGUCAAAGACCUGCCUCCCUGCCCGGAAGACCUUGAGCAGUCAUUGGGUCAUCAGUCAUCAUCUGGGCUUCUUUGGCCAUAAAACACAGAUGCCUACACCUCCCCUGCCUUCUCCCCAAAGUAGCGUGAGAAGCAGAAUCCAAACAAGCUUACAUGUGAAGGCGCUCCGUAAACUGUGAGUCAUGGCCUUCGCGGACGUUCUUCUGGAUGCAUGUAAUAGAAACCCAAUAAAUAAGCAAAAAGGAAGGCACUGAGUUGAAAGGAUAUGAGGAAACCUCUCAGAAACCACAGGCAGGAAGUGAGGUUGGAUCCAGAAAUGGCAUCUGGAGAGCUGGGACCACAGGCAGCUCACCCCUUUGGCGCCUCUCUGCUUAUCCACCUGGUUUCAUUUCUCUCUCUCUGCAGACUGACUUCUGCUGUUCUGGCCUGCAGUGCCAAAGAUGGUCACUCCAUGGCACCUGUGAACACACACCCUCUGUUCAAGCCAGAAGUCUAGGCUUUUUCAUCAGGUCUUACUUCAAAUUAGUUCAUCCCAGGCUGGGGGUCCACUCCUUGUCCUAUGAGUCAGAAAUGCGAGCAGGGGUCGCAUGGGAUAAACUUGGCCAUCCUUCAUCCACCCUGUGGCUAUGAGCUGGGCAGGUACCAGGAGAGAUGCCAUUUAUAAACAUCAC
Molecule: long non-coding RNA, 6795 nt
Filed under: Equus caballus (horse)
Lineage: Eukaryota; Metazoa; Chordata; Mammalia; Perissodactyla; Equidae
Description: lncRNA (ENSECAG00000057320.1)
Source: RNAcentral